This 1588-nucleotide ribosomal RNA is filed under the name Pseudomonas aeruginosa. RNAcentral describes it as "partial 23S ribosomal RNA". It matches the Rfam family "Bacterial large subunit ribosomal RNA", at positions 87 to 1728 of the family's 2925-position model. The record is from RNAcentral. Lineage: Bacteria; Pseudomonadati; Pseudomonadota; Gammaproteobacteria; Pseudomonadales; Pseudomonadaceae.
GGCAAACAGACUUUGAUCCGGAGAUCUCUGAAUGGGGGAACCCACCUAGGAUAACCUAGGUAUCUUGUACUGAAUCCAUAGGUGCAAGAGGCGAACCAGGGGAACUGAAACAUCUAAGUACCCUGAGGAAAAGAAAUCAACCGAGAUUCCCUUAGUAGUGGCGAGCGAACGGGGAUUAGCCCUUAAGCUUCAUUGAUUUUAGCGGAACGCUCUGGAAAGUGCGGCCAUAGUGGGUGAUAGCCCCGUACGCGAAAGGAUCUUUGAAGUGAAAUCGAGUAGGACGGAGCACGAGAAACUUUGUCUGAACAUGGGGGGACCAUCCUCCAAGGCUAAAUACUACUGACUGACCGAUAGUGAACCAGUACCGUGAGGGAAAGGCGAAAAGAACCCCGGAGAGGGGAGUGAAAUAGAACCUGAAACCGUAUGCGUACAAGCAGUGGGAGCCUACUUGUUAGGUGACUGCGUACCUUUUGUAUAAUGGGUCAGCGACUUAUAUUCAGUGGCAAGCUUAACCGUAUAGGGUAGGCGUAGCGAAAGCGAGUCUUAAUAGGGCGUUUAGUCGCUGGGUAUAGACCCGAAACCGGGCGAUCUAUCCAUGAGCAGGUUGAAGGUUAGGUAACACUGACUGGAGGACCGAACCCACUCCCGUUGAAAAGGUAGGGGAUGACUUGUGGAUCGGAGUGAAAGGCUAAUCAAGCUCGGAGAUAGCUGGUUCUCCUCGAAAGCUAUUUAGGUAGCGCCUCAUGUAUCACUCUGGGGGGUAGAGCACUGUUUCGGCUAGGGGGUCAUCCCGACUUACCAAACCGAUGCAAACUCCGAAUACCCAGAAGUGCCGAGCAUGGGAGACACACGGCGGGUGCUAACGUCCGUCGUGAAAAGGGAAACAACCCAGACCGCCAGCUAAGGUCCCAAAGUUGUGGUUAAGUGGUAAACGAUGUGGGAAGGCUUAGACAGCUAGGAGGUUGGCUUAGAAGCAGCCACCCUUUAAAGAAAGCGUAAUAGCUCACUAGUCGAGUCGGCCUGCGCGGAAGAUGUAACGGGGCUCAAACCACACACCGAAGCUGCGGGUGUCACGCAAGUGACGCGGUAGAGGAGCGUUCUGUAAGCCUGUGAAGGUGAGUUGAGAAGCUUGCUGGAGGUAUCAGAAGUGCGAAUGCUGACAUGAGUAACGACAAUGGGUGUGAAAAACACCCACGCCGAAAGACCAAGGGUUCCUGCGCAACGUUAAUCGACGCAGGGUUAGUCGGUUCCUAAGGCGAGGCUGAAAAGCGUAGUCGAUGGGAAACAGGUUAAUAUUCCUGUACUUCUGGUUACUGCGAUGGAGGGACGGAGAAGGCUAGGCCAGCUUGGCGUUGGUUGUCCAAGUUUAAGGUGGUAGGCUGAAAUCUUAGGUAAAUCCGGGGUUUCAAGGCCGAGAGCUGAUGACGAGUCGUCUUUUAGAUGACGAAGUGGUUGAUGCCAUGCUUCCAAGAAAAGCUUCUAAGCUUCAGGUAACCAGGAACCGUACCCCAAACCGACACAGGUGGUCGGGUAGAGAAUACCAAGGCGCUUGAGAGAACUCGGGUGAAGGAACUAGGCAAAAUGGCAC